AGACUGACGGGCCUCGAUCCCGCAAAAACUUNUAAUUAACAACUAAACACCCUAGCCAGUGGGCUUCAGCCUANGNC
RNAcentral lists this transfer RNA (77 nucleotides) under Hemidactylus mabouia. Its description in RNAcentral is "tRNA-Asn". Lineage: Eukaryota; Metazoa; Chordata; Lepidosauria; Squamata; Gekkonidae. The record is from RNAcentral.